Non-coding RNA from Mesocricetus auratus (golden hamster), 311 nucleotides. Lineage: Eukaryota; Metazoa; Chordata; Mammalia; Rodentia; Cricetidae. The record is from Rfam.
AAAUGUGAGCGAGAUCUGGCUAUGACAUGUGUCACCCACUGAUCAUAGGAUUGGUUCAGCUUAUCUGGCUGGCUAAGCAGGUGUCCCCAUCUUCCCUGGACACUCCCUGAGCCUCCUAUCUCUCUCUAGCUGUGUGUUUAGCUGAAGAGGAGGACAGCUCCUGACAGAGGAGGGCCAGCCUUCAUGGCUGUGAGAGCAGCUGUGCUCCCCUGCUGGGACCUCCACACAGUCUCAAAGAGUCUGAAUGACCAGGAGCCCUGAAGAAUCCUCCAGAUGGGAUGCUUAAUACCACGGUUUCACUUCCCUCCUUU